GUGCCUCGGCAUCAGCGUGCU
This 21-nucleotide small nuclear RNA is filed under the name Arabidopsis thaliana (thale cress). RNAcentral describes it as "snRNA_17440". Lineage: Eukaryota; Viridiplantae; Streptophyta; Magnoliopsida; Brassicales; Brassicaceae. The record is from RNAcentral.